Lagopus leucura (white-tailed ptarmigan) is the source of this 843-nucleotide long non-coding RNA. RefSeq lists it as uncharacterized. The transcript is spliced from 2 exons. The record is from RefSeq and is a predicted model, not a curated record. NCBI's taxonomy places the organism in Eukaryota, Metazoa, Chordata, Aves, Galliformes, Phasianidae.
GCUGUGCUGCGCCGAGCGGUCCGAGCUCACCGCAAACCCGCACCCCCCUUCGAGAACAGGGAAGGGGUAGCUCCGGGAAUGCAGCUGUGGGAAAGAGAAAUCCUGCCCACGGAUAAGGUGUCUGGGGGACUAAAAGCGGGGUCAGUUUGCUUUCUUCCCCCUCUUUUUUUUUUUUUUUUUUUCUUGUUACUGUUCCUUUCUUCCGAAGUACAGACGCUCGGUUUUUCUGCAGUGAGGACGUUGAAGUCUCUAAAAUGGCACCAAAUCUCUCAGCAAAACGGACUGUGUAGUUGCAUUGUUAAGCAUUUUCCUCGCUGACGUGCACCACAUUGACAUUAAUCUCAGAAACAAAUGUCAAAGUAAUUCUGACAUCGUUAGAGAGCCCGUUCUGCAGAUGUAGAUUUGGAAAGUUCCCCUGCCACUUGCAGGGAUAUCCGCACAUGUUAGCAAAAGUGCUGCAGGGAAUAAUGCCCAAUAAUUACCGCGAUCUUCGCGACCGACAGCAUCCUCACGUACAGUGCCCUUCGUGGACAGAGACCAGCGGCUAAACAAACACAAAUGAAUAAAAUAAGUGCAAGCCAGACUUCUUCGUGUAGGGAGUUGAAAUGCAAGGAGCGUAUAGAAUAAAAGAAAAACGUGUAUUUACAACUCCAAAUCAUUGCAUUGACAGCAAUAGAACAAGAUCACUAUACAUGACAGAAGGGGGGAAACUCCUGUUCGGACAGUGAUUAUUGUAUGACAAGAAGCAAUAACUACUUUGCUAUAAACAAAGCAGUUAAUUAUGAAGUUUAUUAUGAAGAAACCGAAUGAACAGCCGUCCAAAUAAAUGCCCUCUGCAUCCAA